This 558-nucleotide non-coding RNA is filed under the name Pan troglodytes (chimpanzee). Lineage: Eukaryota; Metazoa; Chordata; Mammalia; Primates; Hominidae. The record is from RNAcentral.
AGAAAAUUCACCAAUUAUGGACGUUUCUCCAAAAACGUUUCAAGAGAAAGAGAAAAACAAAAAUGCAUGACUAUGAAUCUACCCAAGUCAGAAAUUCAAGGCCCUGUCUAAAGACACAUCCUGAAUCAAACCAUAUGAGAAAAAUUACAAGACAAGAACACAUUUCAAAAUGGAGGUAGAGGAAACAACACUUUUGGGUAAAGUGCAACUGAUGAUUGUGCCAACAUGUGCUAACCCACAGCCUGCAACUGAGGCUGAUACUCCCUGGCAACACUCCAAUUACCACCUCUCAUCUGGCAAGCCCAGUAGUUCAGUUCCUCAACAUCAACGAGCUUGAUAUGAUUGCAGGGAAGUGGCGCCCCUACGUGCCCUGGAACACCGGAGCAAGAUGGCAUUUGUUAGUGUUCAGAUCUGUUUUAGCACUGAAGAUAUUCCAAGCCCCUUAAAAUCUCUGAGUGGCCAAAGUGGUUAUGGAUGGAAAGUAACACAUCUUUAAAGGGGCAUUUGUUACUGCAAGUGUUGGUAAUAAAACAAAGUGCUGGAGAAAGCAAAGGCCAA